RNAcentral lists this ribosomal RNA (117 nucleotides) under Triticum aestivum (bread wheat). RNAcentral describes it as "partial small subunit ribosomal RNA". Lineage: Eukaryota; Viridiplantae; Streptophyta; Magnoliopsida; Poales; Poaceae. The record is from RNAcentral.
AUGACUAUCAGGGUUGAGAAGGCGACGCAGCUGCUAGAGAGUGCCCUGAAGGUGAAGGAGUACGAGCUCCUCAGGAGGAACUUCAAUGACACCGGAUGCUUUGGCUUCGGUAUCUAG